UGAGUGCUAGCUAGCCAAGCACCACAACACAAACAGACUAUACAACUACUACUGUUCUUCCAGAGACAAAUCGAUGGGUCUGUGAACUUCUACAGAGACUUGGACCACUACUAGAAUGGCUUUGAGCAUGCUGCAGGAGACCACUGGCUGGGGUGAUGCCCACUCCCACUACAACAUCCAGAGGUUUUCCACCUGCGACCGGGACAAGGACAGCAGCCAUGUGAACUGUGCUGAAAGUUACCUGGGAGGCGUCUAGUAGACCAAGCGCUACAGCACUAACCCCAACUGUGUGUAUAGCCAGAAUAGUCUGCAAAAUUGCAAAUUGAUCAUAACUAUGCCCCAAAAAAGAUUGUAUUUGAAAAUAACAAUAAUUGUAUACCUUGAUUACAUUAAGACACAAUCACAUAAUUAUGUCUCUUUUUUUAUUUGUGCAAAUACUUGGGAACAGAUUUCUGGAAUUAAACCAUUUUUUUGCUGAAUUCCUUUUUACUAAAAACUUUGGGGGGCCCAAGAAAAUCACUCAUGGCUGGUUUUGGUCACCUG
Salvelinus namaycush (lake trout) is the source of this 543-nucleotide long non-coding RNA. RefSeq lists it as uncharacterized. Lineage: Eukaryota; Metazoa; Chordata; Actinopteri; Salmoniformes; Salmonidae. The record is from RefSeq and is a predicted model, not a curated record. The transcript has 3 exons.